UAAAGCUCUGUUAAUCGGGACGAAAGGCCUUCUUGCAAAUAGUGAGAGGGAUUGACGGUACCGGAAUAGAAAGCCACGGCUAACUACGUGCCACCAGCCGCGGUAAUACAUAGGUGGCAAGCGUUGUCCGGAAUUAUUGGGCGUAAAGCGCGCGCAGGCGGAUGGGUCAUUCUGUCUUAAAAGUUCGGGGCUUACCCCCGUGAUGGGAUGGAAACUGCCAAUCUAGAGUAUCGGAGAGGAAAGUGGAAUUCCUAGUGUAGCGGUGAAAUGCGUAGAUAUUAGGAAGAACACCAGUGGCGAAGGCGACUUUCUGGACGAAAACUGACGCUGAGGCGCGAAAGCCAGGGGAGCGAACGGGAUUAGAUACCCCGGUAGUCCUGGCCGUAAACGAUGGGUACUAGGUGUAGGAGGUAUCGACCCCUUCUGUGCCGGAGUUAACGCAUUAAGUACCCCGCCUGGGGAGUACGACCGCAAGGUUGA
Molecule: ribosomal RNA, 480 nt
Filed under: uncultured bacterium
Lineage: Bacteria
Description: bacterial SSU rRNA
Rfam family: Bacterial small subunit ribosomal RNA
Source: RNAcentral